GUGGCGGACGGGUGAGUAAUGCAUAGGAAUCUACCUUUUAGUGGGGGAUAACGUGGGGAAACCCACGCUAAUACCGCAUAAUCUCUACGGAGGAAAGUGGGGGAUCUUCGGACCUCAUGCUGAAAGAUGAGCCUAUGUCAGAUUAGCUUGUUGGUGGGGUAAUGGCCUACCAAGGCGACGAUCUGUAGCUGGUUUGAGAGAACGAUCAGCCACACUGGGACUGAGACACGGCCCAGACUCCUACGGGAGGCAGCAGUGGGGAAUAUUGGACAAUGGGCGCAAGCCUGAUCCAGCAAUGCCGCGUGUGUGAAGAAGGCCUGCGGGUUGUAAAGCACUUUCAGUUGGGAGGAAAGGUUUAAGUUUAAUACGCUUGAACUGUGACGUUACCAACAGAAGAAGCACCGGCUAACUCUGUGCCAGCAGCCGCGGUAAUACAGAGGGUGCAAGCGUUAAUCGGAAUUACUGGGCGUAAAGCGCGCGUAGGCGGUUUGUUAAGUCGGAUGUGAAAUCCCUGGGCUCAACCUGGGAACUGCAUUCGAAACUGACUGACUAGAGUAUGGUAGAGGGUGGUGGAAUUCCUAGUGUAGCGGUGAAAUGCGUAGAUAUUAGGAGGAACAUCAGUGGCGAAGGCGACCACCUUGGACCAAUACUGACGCUGAGGUGCGAAAGCGUGGGGGAGCAAAACAGGAUUAGAUACCCUGGUAGUCCACGCCCGUAAAAACGAUGUCAAUUAGAUUGUUUGGGAGGGUCUUACCUCUUUAGUGUCGCAACCUAACGCGUUAAGUUGACCCGC
This 793-nucleotide ribosomal RNA is filed under the name uncultured bacterium. RNAcentral's name for it is "bacterial SSU rRNA". It matches the Rfam family "Bacterial small subunit ribosomal RNA", at positions 95 to 872 of the family's 1533-position model. The record is from RNAcentral.